CAUGCAAGUCGAACGGAAAUCUUUUAGAUUUUAGUGGCGAACGGGUGAGUAACACGUAAGCAACCUGCCUUUAAGACGAGAAUAACAAUUGGAAACAGUUGCUAAGGCUGGAUAGGAAAUAAAAAGGCAUCUUUUUAUUUUUAAAAGACCUUUUUCGGAAGGUAUGCUUAAAGAGGGGCUUGCGUCACAUUAGUUAGUUGGUAGGGUAAAGGCCUACCAAGACGAUGAUGUGUAGCUGGACUGAGAGGUUGAACAGCCACAUUGGGACUGAGACACGGCCCAAACUCCUACGGGAGGCAGCAGUAGGGAAUUUUCGGCAAUGGAGGAAACUCUGACCGAGCAACGCCGCGUGAACGACGAAGUACUUCGGUAUGUAAAGUUCUUUUAUUGAAGAAGAAACAAUAGUGGAAAAACUAUCUUGACGUUAUUCAAUGAAUAAGCCCCGGCUAACUAUGUGCCAGCAGCCGCGGUAAUACAUAGGGGGCGAGCGUUAUCCGGAAUUAUUGGGCGUAAAGGGUGCGUAGGCGGUUUAAUAAGUCUCUAGUUUAAUUUCAACGCUUAACGUUGUCCUGCUAGAGAAACUGUUUAACUAGAGUGAGAUAGAGGUAAGCGGAAUUCCAUGUGUAGCGGUAAAAUGUGUAAAUAUAUGGAGGAACACCAGAGGCGUAGGCGGCUUACUGGGUCUUUACUGACGCUGAUGCACGAAAGCGUGGGGAGCAAACAGGAUUAGAUACCCCUGGUAGUCCACGCCGUAAACUAUGAGUACUAAGUGUCGGGGUUAAACUCGGUACUGAAGUUAACACAUUAAGUACUCCGCCUGAGUAGUACGUACGCAAGUAUGAAACUUAAAGGGAUUUGACGGGAUCCCGCACAAGCGGUGGAUCAUGUUGUUUAAUUCGAAGAUACACGAAAAACCUUACCAGGUCUUGACAUACUCUGCAAAGCUAUAGAAAUAUAGUGGAGGUUAUCAGGGAUACAGGUGGUGCAUGGUUGUCGUCAGCUCGUGUCGUGAGAUGUUAGGUUAAGUUCUAAAACGAGCGCAACCCCUGUCGUUAAUUGCCAGCACGUUAUGGUGGGGACUUUAGCGAGACUGCCAAUGAAAAAUUGGAGGAAGGUGGGGAUUACGUCAAAUCAUCAUGCCCCUUAUGAUCUGGGCUACAAACGUGAUACAAUGGCUAUUACAAAGAGUAGCUGAAACGCGAGUUUUCGGCAAAUCUCAAAAAAAUAGUCUCAGUUCGGAUUGAAGUCUGCAACUCGACUUCAUGAAGUUGGAAUCGCUAGUAAUCGCGAAUCAGCAUGUCGCGGUGAAUACGUUCUCGGGGUUUGUACACACCGCCCGUCAAACCACGAAAGUGGACAAUACCCGAAAGCGACAGCCUAACUGCGUAAGC
This 1391-nucleotide ribosomal RNA is filed under the name 'Colpoptera sp.' lethal yellowing phytoplasma. RNAcentral describes it as "bacterial SSU rRNA". It matches the Rfam family "Bacterial small subunit ribosomal RNA". Lineage: Bacteria; Bacillati; Mycoplasmatota; Mollicutes; Acholeplasmatales; Acholeplasmataceae. The record is from RNAcentral.